This 19086-nucleotide long non-coding RNA is filed under the name Gossypium barbadense (sea-island cotton). RNAcentral's name for it is "long non-coding RNA (GBAR_LNC012145)". Lineage: Eukaryota; Viridiplantae; Streptophyta; Magnoliopsida; Malvales; Malvaceae. The record is from RNAcentral.
CCUUUUGAUGUGUUGAUAUUUAAACCUCUCAAAAUGCAAAUACUAAUCGGUUGGCCUCCUAUAUAUAAGUACUAAUCUCCAAUCUGUCAACCUUUUGUGCUUUUAAUUUUGAAAUAACCACUAUGGAGUCACAUUCCAAAAGAACACGGCGAAAACUCAUGUGUUGUGCAAGCGGAAUGGCCUGAACUGCAGCUAAGGCCUCUGCCACUUCAGCAGAUAGGACAUUCCUGUUCCAAGUACUAGAGGCUCCCAUUACCAACCCUGCCUCAUCUUUUAUGACGGAUAUUGCGUUGGAAAAUUGUAGAUUCUUAUAAAAACCUACAUCAAAGUUUACUUUUAACCAUCAGGGCUCUGGAGGGCACCAUCUCACCGGAGGUCCUUACGUGCUUGUCGGGUAAGUCUUCUCCAAUAGCACCAGUUCUUUAACAUAUCCUAGCACAAAAUUACACAAAUCAUUUACUAUUUGUCUUCUGCCUUCAUGCAUCAAUUUAUUUCGCAACAUCAGAGAUUUGCCUACAUAUAUGUAGAUUUUGUCUAGUAGGCACAUAGUUAUGUAUAAUUCUCCAUGUCGUAAUUUUCAUCUUUUCUAGGACUUUUGUUUCCCAAAGGUAUUUGUAUAAAAGCCUCAUGUAGGUCUCAAUAUCUCUGUAAAGAUCAUCAUCUGACCUAGGAAAACCCCUCAAUGGCACUCGGUAGCCACUCUGGACUGUAUACAUACCAGACUCAUCAGGACACCAUCGUAUUUAUCUACUAGGCCAUUGGGCGGCAACGGGAUACAAAGAAUCCUCUUAGCCUCUUACUCAUUAAAGGUAUUCCUCACAACAAAAUCUUUCCAAGUCCCUUCUUUAGCAUCAAUCAAAUCUGCAACCAUAGAAAUACCAUCAACCUUGUCUAAUUGAAUAAUCGUUGGUUUGUCCCCAGGCAACCAAGUUGUAUCCCAUACCGGAAUAUGCUCACUAUUCCAAAGCUUCAGCUGCUACCUUUCAGCAAAAGUCCCUUUACGGCCAAGACACUCCUCCAAAUUGCCGAAAGUUGACUCUUUAACUCAAUUCUCAUGAAAUCACUAUCCGCAUAAUAUUUAGAUUGCAAAAUUGAUGCUACUAGAGAUAUAGGGUUACAAAUAAGUCUCCAACCUUGUUUAGCUAGAAGCGCAAAAUUAAAUUUGGCUAGCUGCCUAAACCCCAAUCCACCCUAUUUCUUUAAAUUACAUAAAGCCUCCCAUGUACCCCAAUGUAUUCCACGAUUUGAUUGGAAUUUUUGCCACCAUUAGCAACUAAACACGAUUUCAAUAUCCUCGCAAAAGGUUUUUGGUAAUAGAAAACAUGAAAUGACAUAAGUAGGCCUAGCUUGUAAGACCGAUUUAAUAAAAAAAUUUUACCUCCCUAUGACAACCAACGAUUGGACCACCCACUGAUUUUUCCUUUAAUUCAAUCCAAAAUAAGAUAGAAUGCAGCUCUCUUAUUACGCCCUAUUAUUAUGAGAAGGCCCAAAUACUUCUCCGGGUUUUAAGGGCAUCUCACCCUAACUCAUUUUCCACUAAAACCCGGGUCUCAUCAGCAACUCUUGAACUAAAGUAGACCAGAGACUUACUAAAGUUAAUAACCUGCCCGAAACAAGCCUCGUAUUCAGCCAAAACAUUCUUAAUAUUUGUCGCCCUAGCCACUAAUGCCUCCCUAAAUAAAAUAUUGUUGUUAGUACGAGCGACUCAACUUUGCCCAUUUUACCAACCUAUCCUGUAUCGCUAACCGGAGCAAAACAGACAACCCCUCUAUGCAAAACAAGAAUAAGAAAUGGCUUAGAGGGUCACCUUGUUUUAGCCCACAAGUGGGUGAAAUAAAACCUCUGGUUUGCCUAUUCAACACCACUAAAUAACUAACAGUCUUCACGCAUCUCAUAACCAGCUCAACCAAAUCCACUCGAAAACCUAUUUUUAACAUCAUAUCUUCAAUCAUAUGUCAUUCCACCCUAUCAUAGGCCUUACUCAUAUCCAAAUUAAGCGCAAAAAAUCCACAUCUAUUCUCAGUCCUUUUUUUUUUAAAGAAUGUAGCAACUCAAAUACGACAAUAACAUUAUAUGCUAUAAGUCUACCUGGUAUGAACGCACUCUGUGCUUCAUUAAUACAAUGAGGCAUAAUCAUUUGUAAUUGAUGGACAAUUUCCUUAGUAAUAAUUUUCAAAAUAACAUUACAUAAGCUUAUUGGACGAAAGUGUGUCAUAUUAAUAGGCAUAGAUUGUUUUGGGAUAAGCACAAUAUUUUUAUGAUUAACCUCUACCAUUGGUCCUCUAUUAUUCAUAAUAUCAAGGCAUUAAGAGCUUACCUCUAAGCUAAUAAUGUGCCAAAACUGUUGGUAGAACAAAGUCGGCAUACCAUCCUCCCUCGGUGCCUUUGUAGGAUACAUUCUCCACAUCGCCGCACCAAUCUUUUCUUCAGUGAAUCGAGAGCACAAAAAAUCAUCCAUGCCAUCAGAAACAUGAACUAGAAUUCCCAUCAAAAGCCUUGUAUUAUCGCCCCUACCCCUUGAAGUAACCAGAUCAGUGAAGUAUCUACACGCAAUUUGUUGCAUCUCCUCAUUUCCCGCACUCAUUCUACCUUCUUCAUCUUCGAGCUGUCCUACAUAAUUAAUUUUCCUACGUUGGAAAUCCAUUCUUUGAAAAAACCCAGUAUUACGAUCCUCAUUCCUCAACCAGUUAGCUCUUGCUCUCUGUUCCCAAUAGCGUUCCCUUUUUAACAAUCUCCAAAUUGAGCUAUAUUUUUGUGAUGACCAAUUACUCCAGCGCUUCAUUAGUCGGAUAUGAAUUAUUAAGCUCGUCAAGCUUCUACCUUAAUUUAUCCAAGGUCAUUCGAGACAACUGUCUAUUCUCUCAAGCCCAAUUCAUCAAACCACGCUCGACAUAUCGAAUUAUAUCCAGUAUAGACCCAUCUGAGCUAUUCCAUAAUCUUUUAACCUCUCUUUUACAAGACUCUUCAAGCAAUAAUGUUGCUUCAAAUCUAAACUCACAUGUACUUUGUUCCUGUUGAUCUACCCUCCUACAAAUGUUAAGUAAAAUUGGGCAAUGAUCAGUUAUCGAAUGCAUGCAAUGCUUGAGAGAAAAAUUAGGAAAUAAAUUAUUCCAUUUUGGAUUUGCCACUCCCCUAUCAAGCAUUUCCUGUAUGUUAUUGUGGGCCAAUCUCCAAUGUUCCCAUGUAAACUAGUGGUCUUGAUAUCCCAAAUUCGACAAAUUACAAUCUUCCAAAGCUAUCAUGAAAGCCUCAAUUCCUCGCUCAUCCCUCAGCCUCCCCUUUGUUUCUCAUAAGAAUACAUAAUCUCAUUAAAAUCCUCCAUAAUCAGCCACAGUAUCGCACUUUUAGUAGAAAAAUCUCGUAAAUGAUCCUACAAAUAGUGUCUCAAGUUCUUUACAGGAUGCCCAUAAAACCCAGUAAACCUCCAAUGAGCACUUUCUACUUCUUCAAUAUUUAUAUCAAUAUGGCUCAACGAGAAGCUCCAUUCUAAAGAUAAACCACCCACUGUACCAUCACUACUAAUAUUGAUUCCCUCCAUCAAUCCCCAGCUCCUCCAUCUUCGAACUAUGUAUCUUUGUUUUCAUGAAAAAGUUACAUCAGGAUUAAUCUCCCUCAGCACCUACCAAAGGCAAGGUCUUGCACGGGGGUUCCCCAAACCCCAGACAUUUCAGCAUAAUAUUUUCAUUGCAUUCGACUGCUCUGUCUGUAGAGCCAACCGAUAUCUCAGAAUCAUGAACAAAGACAUAUCCAUCAAUAGCUUUCCCUGAAUUCAUUCUACUAGAAACAAAAGAAAACCGAGUAUUACGAGGCCUCUUAUCCCUUUCCCCUAAUUUCUAUUGGACAAUCCUCCUCUAUCAACUCUCUAUUCGGAUCAAGAUUCUCUAAAUCCCCAACAUCAAAAUUUACUCUUCCCCCCAUUUCAAACCAAGAUUGGCCUCUACUUGCCUUAAAAAAAUUGCAUGCAUUUUAGAAUAAACCUUGUAUAUUUUUAUUCUUCCCAUCUUGUCCACUCUCUAGAGUUCUCUUUAGUUCCCUCAAUCGUGGCCCCUCCUCCUUCUCCCUUAAUCACGGACUCGAUGCCACCAUUUCUUGUUUAGGGAUCGCGUUAAUCGAUAAAUUCUAGCUAAGCAGAACCUUUCCGAAUGACCCAAUUUGCGACAUAGAAAAUAGAACGCCGAUAGUUUCUCAUAAUGGAAACACGCAUAGAGAUACCAUUUACUACCCAAAAUAAGCUUCUUAUUCCUUAUUAACGGAUUUCUCAUAUCAAUCCGAACCCGAAUUUUUAUAUAGCCUCUAUACCCUUGAUGUAAAUAUUUCACAUCAUACUCUAAAAAUCACCUUACAAAAUCUCUAAACUAUUUGGCCAUCGUCUCUGACCUCAGGCUUGUUAGGAGAUCGUGAACCUGGACCCAAAAAUCAGACCAACACAGCAACCCUAGCAUGGGAUCCUCCUAUUCCCGCAAUCUAUGAAAUACGAACAAAUGAUUAUUAAAUGUCCAAUGACUCCCUUCCAAAAGUUGAUCCAGAUUUAUCUUAUAAUAGAAUUGAAACAUAAAUCGCUUUUCCCCUAGAUCUGUUAUUGUAACACCUCCAUGCGAAUGCCAUAAAUUAACCAAGGUUGCUUGGUAUUGCACAAUGCUCACUGUUAAGGAAUCGUCGACUACACUCAGAUCCGCCCCCUCCUCUCUCGUCUCCUUGCCCAAAUCGACAUUCCAACCCACCUCCUCUCCAUUAGUAAUCAACAACGCCGUUAAGCCCUAUUUCAUUCUUGAAGCACUACCAUCUAUCAAAACCCUAAACUAGAUUCAAAACGUGCUAUUAGAAGUAGACUAAAAACGUGCUAUUAGAAGUAGACUAACAUGCUUCUUUUCAAAAUUGAAACACAACACUAAAAAUUAAGGGUUGAAAAUUUAAACAUUGAAUUUAAGUUAUAAAAUUUGUUUGUUAUACAUAUUUCUUAAAUUUAAAUAUGAAAUAUAAUUAGAUGAUUUGAUAAAUACAAUUUUAAAAAUUUUAAAAAUAAAGUAUUUAAAAGAUAAAAUAAAUAAAAUAAAAAGAAUUGAAAAUUUUCUACUAAGUGAUAGGUAGCUCUUUAUCUACUUAUCAUUUUCCACACUUUUUCAUUGAAAAAAUUCAAUCAUUUGAUUUUUAUUAUGAAUUAUCAAAUGUGUUAAAAAAUUUAAAUAACUGAAAAUAUUAAUUUUUAGCUAAUUUAUUUUUCAAUGGUUAUCAAACAAGGCUUAGGAGUUGUCUGAUAAAUUAAAAAUUUAAGUGUUGAAAAAUUAAGUACUUAAUUUUAAAUAUAAGUGUUCAAUAUAAUCAUAUUAUUUGGUAAAAGUAAAUAUUGAUUUUGUUAAUUUUAAUUUUAUUAAUAUAAUAUUUCAUAUUAUUUUGGAUAGAUUUAGAUAAAAGUUAAAUAUGAUAAUUGAAUAUCUCAAUUUUAAAAUAUAUAUAUAUAUAAAAUUUUAAUAAAGUAUAAUCAACUAAUUGAGUGUUAAUUAGUUACCUAUCUAUUUAUCCUAUACAACAUUUUUUUUAUUUAAAAUUUUAUAAUAAGUAAAAUAUUAAUAAAAACAUUAUGAAACACAUUUAAAAUAAUAAAAUGUUGAAAUGAAAAUUUGUAAUGAUUGAUUAUUUAACAAUUAUUGAUCAACACUUAAUUUCUUUUCAAUUUAUCAUAGGAUGUUUGGUGGGUUGAAUUGAACCUAUUUUGAAUUAGUGAAAACUUCUCUGAUUCUUUUAGAAAAAUACCCACCUAAUAAUGCAAGGUAAAAAUGCCAAUAAAUUGCCAGUGUUUGAAUUGUUUAGGAAUAUUAGUUUUGUGGGGAAAGGGUUUCUAUUAUUAUUAUUAUUAAAAACUAUUUUUUUGGGGAUUUGUUAUUCCUUGCAUUGCUUUUAUAUUAUUUUAAUUUGAUAGAAACGAAUAUUCUCUUCCUUUUUACUUUAUAUUUUACAAAGUUAAAUUCUUUUUAAAACAAUCAACUUGAGUGGAUUGAGUUUUAGUUCAAUUAACAUGAGUAUUAUUAUCAAUAUAGGAGGAUGUAGAUUCAAGUGUACUAAAACACAUUAUAAAAUUUGUUAACAGAAUCCCACGUGUCUUAAGUUCACUAACAGCAAUAAUAUAUCAUGUUUACGUGUCUCCUUAACGGUGAAAUUAAAUGUGGUCAAAGUAUUUGAUGAACCAUUAAGUGCUGAUGUGGCAUGGAGAGCUUAAUUAUUUUUAAUUAUUUUGCAAUAGUUCUUUUAACAUUUAAGCUUAUUUUUAAAAAAAUAAAAAAACUAUAAAAACAUAGACAAUUACAUAAAAAAUUGUAAAAUGUUAUUAUAAUUAUAUAUUACAGUUCAUCAUCGUGAACCCUGACACCAACUUUCCUCGUACUAAAACAAUUAUUAUCACGCAUCUCAAGCUGCAAAUAAUAAAUUCAUUGUCACUCAAACCUAAAAAUGUCAAUAAGUCGGGGUCGAGAUUCGGUUUCAAAAAAUUUGUCAAGUCUAAGCUUAUUUUCCAACUGGUUUAACCCGCCUAAAACACCCGUUUUAGUAUAAAAAAUAAGAUAUAUUAAAAUAUAUUUUUAGUUGAUAUUUUUAUAAAUAAAUUUAAAUUUUAAAAAUAUUAUUUUAUUAUUUAAAUUGAAUUUGAAUUGGAUUGGGUUGAGUUGAGACGAGGUGAAAAAUCAUUGUCCCUGAGUCGAGCCAAAUGAGCUACCCUACCUUUAGACAGGUCUAUUCAAACCUUUCACUUGGCAUUCUAUAUAAGUCUAAUCACCAUUACACUUCAAUCUUCUCAUUUCCUUAUUACUAAAAUCAAAGACUCCAUAGAAAAAUUUUUUUCCUUUAUUUUUAUAUAUAUUUUUAUAAAAUUUUAUUAAUUUUCUAUAAUUUUAUAGUUUUUUUUAAUAAUAUUUCAGUAGUUCUAAAAUGUUAUAAUACUUCAACAUUACUUUUUCAUAUUAUCAUAUUAUUUAAUAAAUUUAUGAUGAUUUAUUUAACAUUUUAGUCUAUUAUUUUCAACUAAAACUAUUAAACUCGUAUUCCAAAUAUAUAUUGAAAAUGCAAGAAAUUUCAUUUAUCUUUUUUAUUAUUAUUACUUAUUAGUUAUUAUGAUGUUUUUUAAUUGAAAAGAAAUAUAUCAUUAGAUUGAAAAACGAAGGAAAAAAUGGAUUGAAAAUCGAAUUAUGGUUUGACUUGAUUUGACCCAUGAAUAUGAGUAGUAAUAAGCCUCUACCUUUUGCUUCUACCAAGCUGGCACCGUGGUUGGUACUUGAUGCACAAGCAACAGUCAAGCAGUUGUUUAUAUUUAAAAUUUUAAUAAAAGAGAAAAUAUAUAAUUAUUAAAUAUUAAAUUAAAAACCACGUAAUAUUCUAUUAUUAGUACAUGUAUUUUGUAUAAGUUAUAAAUUCGGUUUUUAUAUUGUAUUAUUAGUACAUGUAGUAAUGAAAUUUUGCCAAAUAAUUUGUUAGUAGAAAUAAUUAAUGUUGUCAUCAAUGGUCUUUAGUAAGAGAUUUUUUACUCUGUAGAAGAAGACAAUAAAGUGUUAUUUGCUUAGAGUUGAUUGAUUUCUUAAGAAAUCCGAUAUCAUUCUCAGAGAGGGAUUAUGUUUCUUGAUUUUUUUUUUGAAAGUUUGAAUACUGGAAGAGGCAAUGUGUUCAUAGAGCUGACAAUGCCUCGCACAAUGCAUAGGCAAACCACUUAGCACAAGUGGAAUUCAACUUGCACCCAUGCCUCAUUUAGGACAUAGGUUCAAAUUCCAUCAAUUGCAACCUUUUUAGUUUCUUCAAUGGCUCGCUUGUUUAGACUUCUGACAAAGUAAUCCCGCUUUGUAAAUCCGUCAUCUCUUCAAAUAAUUGGGCUUUUGACAAUACCGAGAGACAAAACUCUCAUUAGGGACAAUACCAAACUCGUUAAAAGGCAUGCCGGUUUUAUGUUGACACACUUUGUGUAACGACUCAACUUUUGUCAAUGUAAAAAAAUUUGAUUUUCGGAUUGAAUUUCUUGAAUCGAGUCAUUCUGAAUAGUUGAAACGAAAGUGGUGAAAUAAAGAAAUCAUUAAGUAAAUUAUUAAGGAAAAUUUUGAAAUUAUAUUUAGAAGUUAACAAUUAUGGUACAAGGACUAACUUGUAAGGUAGCUAAAUUUAAGAGAUCUAAUAAGAGAUUAAAUCAAGGCCUUGUGAGCAAAUUGGCCACAACACAAAUUAAGUUAAUGGGAGAAUUAUGAUCUAAACCAUUAAUCUCCACUAACUAGUUUAGAUAUUAUCAUUAGCCAUUGAUUUAAGUGUUAAGAUUUAAUUAAAGUAAAGAAUAUAGGUUAGUGGUGAGAGAAAAUAAAACAUUUUUCACUUAGAAUUUUUCAUCUUCUUCCAUCGAAAUUGAGAGAAGGAAAAGAGAAAAUCAUUUUGAAAGUUCCUCCAUUGCCGAAGCUUCAACUCCAAGAGUGGGUAAGCUUUCUCUGAAUUUUUGUUUAAUUAAAUGGUGUUAAAUGAAAGUUUAGAGUUAGCUAUUAGUUUGAGUAUAAAAUUAAAAGAAACUAUACUAAAAUAACCAUGGGUAUUGAAUGCUUGAAGGAGUUGAGUAAGGGUUUUAUGUAUUCAUAACUUUCAAUUGAUAAAUUAGCUAUUAAGUGGCUACUUAAUGAUGGUUCAUGAUUUUGAUAUUUGUAUUUGUAUGUAUUUAUAUGUGUUGAAGAGAUAACUAGAGGGAGCUCUAGCAAGGAAAAAGACCAAGUCGUGAAGUGACGGCUUUUUGAAGAGUUUUCACUUGUUUUGGUCAUUUUGGAUAGGUAAGUUCACAUGGAAACUUCUAUAUUUACUUCUUGUCUGAGUGUAAUGUGAAUUGAAAUUAUGAUAUGUGGAAAUGUUUAAGUGUUAUAUGUAUAAUAGGUAAGUUAUGGGGUAUUGAAAAUGUGGUCCAAAUGGUUUUGAACUUGUCUUGCAUGUGAAUGUAUUCAAUGGUUAAAUAUAUUCUUAGAGAAGAGAACCAGAAAGUUGAUAGAUUGAUAAAGUUGGCUCACAUAAACAAGGGUUGCAAAUUUUUGAAAUCUCUCCGCUCUGGGGUUUAAAUUGUGUUUCUUUAUUUUCUUAUUUAUCACCAAAAAAUAAUAAUAAUAUUGUAAUGGCCUAAAUUCAAAAUUAUCGGAAUAGUGGUUUCGUAACAACCACAAAUUUGAUUUAAAGAGAAAUUAUUUUAAAAAAUUAUUGCAUGAAUAUUAAUAUAAUAGGAAAAUUGUAUGAAAAUAUCGAUAGAAAAAUUUUACCGAUUUAGUGGUUAGUUAGAAAAAAAUUUAUUAUUGAAGAAAUUGGGUAAAAACAAGGUAUCGAGAUCUCGAUCUCAUAAAAAUGAUUUGGAAAUAUUUUUAUAAAUAUUUAUGAAAUUUUAGUGAUUCGGUAUUAAAAUUUCGUUAGAAAAUUUUAAUGUUUGGGUAGUCAAUUAAAUGAAAAGGACUAAAUUGGAAAAUGUGUAAAAGUUACUAGAAUGAUUAAAUAGCUUAAGUGUCUAAUGAGAAAGGAUUUAAAAGAAAAUUAGACCCAAAAUUUAUUUGGGCUGGACGGCAAGGGCAUGAAAUCAGCAGGAAAAUUGAUGAUUUAAGGGCAAAAUUGGAAUAUUACAUAAUUAACUAAAUAAAAAUAGGACUAAAUAUGGAAUAUCUAGAUUUCUCUUCAUUUUUCUUCAUUCUUAUCAGCCAAAACGCCAUAGGAGGGGUUCUUUAAGUUGGUAUUUCAUAAUUUUUGCACCAAGUGAGUUAAUCCUUGCCUAUUUCUUGUAAUUUUUUGUGUUUCUAAGACUUUUACAACUUGGUCCUACUAUUAAAUUCAUUAGUUUUUGAUUUCAUGGAUGAAAUUGAAAGUCACCAUGGUUGAUUACUGUAAGUUUAUGAUGAAAUAGAAUGAAAUUGAAGCUUUAAUUUGUUUAUGAGAUGAUUUUAUUAGGUAAUUUCAAUAGAAUUGAUUUUUAGGACCUAAUUAUGAAAAUGUUUGGAAUUAAAGUCUAGUACUAAAAUUAUGAUUUCCAAAGACUGUAAAGUAGUUUAAAGUGAUAGAAUAAAGUGUUAAUUGAGAAAAAUCAGCUCAAUUGAGAGGCUAAUUGAGUAGAGACGAAAUUAUCAUUUAUUAAAAGCCUAGGGGAAAAAUGGUAAUAAACAGCUUGCACUAAAACAGUUUUAGACAGCAGCAGUAGGUUAACUUUGAAAAAUCACCAUAAAUUAUAGAAAUUGAAUUAGAAGAUUAACAAAAUAUGGAAUUAAAUAUUAUUGAGUAUAGUUUCUCAUAGAAGAAACGGUGUAAGUAAUAGAAUUGUAAAUCAUGAGAUAUAAUAAAUUUUGUGAGACAAGGUCAGAAUGAAUUCGGGUUCCCCUGUUCUGACUUUGAAAAAUCAUAAAAAAAUUUAAAAAAUAAUUAAGGGCUUAAAUUUAUAUUUUUAGAAUCCUGAAUGAGUAUAUUUUCAAGGAAAACAAACAGGAACAUCAUCCAAAUCCUGUAUGAAGAGAUAAUUAAUUUUUAGUGAAGAAGGGUCAGAACUGUCAGACAGCAGAAUAGGGGUGACUUUAAAAAAUAAACUGUACUUAUCGGCUAAACUAAAAAUUCUGAAAAUUUUAUGGUAAGAAGAUAUGUGAGCCUAAUUUUAGGGAAAAUUAGCAGAUCCUAAUUUGGAGUUCUGUAGCUCAAGAUAAAAAUAAUUUAGUGACUGUGACUUAAGUAGACAGCUUUUGAUGAACUAUAAAUAACAGUGGAAUUAUAGAGAAUGUUGCAUAUGAACAUGAAAUUUAUUAAAUUGAUAAUUAAAUUUAUUUAUUUAGAUCCAGAAGAUUCAAAGACAAAGCUAGAUCGAGGAAAGAAAAAAGUUCGGGAUUAGUAGAUUUUUGUAUACGAACAAGUAUCGAGGUAAGUUCAUGUAACUUGAAUUAUAUUCUUAAAUGCUUGAAAUGUAUGUUAUUGAUGUGAAUAUGAUUUUAAUAUUCAUUGUAUGGAAAUCGAUGAAACAUUGAUAUAUUUGAUAAAAGGGGAAGAAAUCUCGGUUGAAUGAAAGGAAAAUUUGAUGGAUCUCUGAAAAGGAAUGACGAUAAAAAGGAUCUAGCCCGGACAGAUGAUCCUAUCUUGAUAUAGCCCUCCCGAAGAAUAUGUGUAAAAUGGAUUUAGCCUGUAUGGGUAAUUUGAAUCAGGGUCUGAAUUUAGCCAGGACUGGUAAUUCAGAUCCAAGCUCAUUAGAGUAAUUGUCGUUGCAGGGGAUUUAGCCUGGACUGAUAAUCCUGCUGUAAGGAUGAGGUUCGCGGGAGUGUGCUCUCUGAAAUGGAAAUGUGCGCACAUGAAUAUGAAUUGAUGGACCCAGAAAUGUACACUAAAAGUGUACCUCUAAAAAUCUAUCGAAAUUCUAAGAAAUUCAACGGGAUAAAUAUGGAAAAAUAUUAAAGGAAUGGAAAUCAUGGUAUUGAUGAGUUCAUCAAUCAUGGUAUAUAUUAUUGAUACAUGGAAAUUAUUGGACUAACUUGAAUGUUGAGUUUGUGCAUGUUAGGGUAAUAAUACAUUGAAUGUAUAUUUGAAUUUUUAUUGCAUUGUAUUGAAAAUAUUAGGUAAGUAUAAUUCUUGUUACAUGAGCUUACUAAGCAUAAGGUGCUUACCCUAUUUCCAUUUUUCCUGUUUUGUAGUUUUAAGAGCUCGGAGGUCAGAUUUGAUCGGAGACACAUCACACUAUCAACUUCAAGAUUUUGGUAUAUCAAGAAACUUUAUUUUGGAAAUCAAUGGCAUGUAUAAGCUAAUAAAGUAAAUGUUAAUGUGAAAUGAAUGUAAGGUCAGUCAUUGGUAUGGCUAACAAAUCUUGGUUUUGGUAUGUGAUGAGGUUAUCUUAUAAAAAUGCAUGAAUCUAUCUUGAAAAUAUGUUGAAUUGGAUCGGUUAAUAUGGAUUGGUCUCGGUUUAAAAUUACAGGGAAGGUUAGAUAUCUAUAAAGGGGCUAUAUUGAGUAAAAAAAAUUAAUUCGUAAACUCCGGUAAUACCUCGUACCCUAUUCCGGCAACGAAUAGGGGUAGGGGGUAUUACAUUUAUUGGUAUCAGAGCUAUGAGUUAACCGGUUCUAGGACCGAUGUAGUAAAUACGGGAUUAGCUAUACAUGCCAUUUAAAUUAUUAUUGAUAGCGUGAUAUCUCUUGACCAUUUAAAAUGUAUUUUUCUUAUAGUAAUGUCAUCCGACCGAACUCAAUCUGAGGAAGUUGGGAGUCAUGCUCUGGCUUCAGUACAAAGAGAAAAAACUAUCAGUAGAAGGCCCGAGACAGAAUGUAAUGAACCGAAAGUUACGGUAUCAGAAAUUGAGUCUUGAGUACUGUUUCCUUGAAAUUUAUUCAUGAAUAUUUAUUAGAAAUAUUUAUGAAUUAUAGUUGAAUGGUUAUUUAGUGUUUAAUUAAGUGAAGUAGCUUGAAUUUAGUUUAAAGGAUUAAAUUGCAUAAGGAAUAAAAGUUUAAUUAUAGAUUAAAGAAGUAAAAGGGACUAAUCUAACAAUUAGACCCUAAGUGCCAUGUGUGUGAAUGUAUGAUAUAACAUGUGUAAUAGUUGGUAUAUAUGUGUAAUAGCUAUAAGAUAUUUUAUGUUAUAGCUAUUACACAUGUUAAUUUUAUAUUUAUUAUAGGUUAAUAAUAUUAUAAUAUAGUAUAAAGAAUAAAGAAUAAUGAGUAAAGAAACAUAGAAAGAGUUACAGAGAGCAAACGUGAGAAAGAAAGAAAUAAAUAAAUAAAAAAGGGAAAUUUGAGGAUUAAGGCCCUAAAGCUUGAUUGGUAAGUUGUUUUAGCUCAUUUUCUUAUGAUUUUUAUGUUUAUGGAUGCCUAAUUCAAAGUUCUACAUGUAUGAGGUUAAAAUGAAGAAAAAUAGAAAAUUUUUAGAUAUUGAUUUAGUUGAAUAAAUUGAGGUUUUAUGGGUUAAAUUGAUAGGAAUUGAAGUUAGAAGUGAAAAUUGAGUGAUUUAUUAAAAGAAUUCUAAGUUAGGUUUAAAUAGGGAUUAAGUUGAAUAGAGCUCAAAAUUUAUGUUUUAUAAUGAAUUUUAUGAGUUAGAAAUUGUUAAUGAGUUGAUUAAAAGAGAAUAUGAAGCUUAAGUUAAAGAAAAAAAGAUUAGUAAUGGAAAAAUGACGAAAUUGGAAUUUUUGUAAAAGUUUGAUAGAAAGUGAAAAUGUGUUUUAUGAAUUAGUAUAUUGAUGAUUUUUAAUUGUAUGAUUGUUAGUAGCAAACGUAGCACCGGAUACGUCAUCAAAGAAGGGAAAAGAGAAAGUGAACGAAGAUAUCGAUUAAAUUCGAUAAAUAGUGGUUUGUAUUUCUAUAAACCGAGCUUAAUCGUUAUUGCUAUAUUUGAUAUUUAUAUUGUAUGAAAAUGUGAAUGAGGUAAGUAUUUUUACCAUAUUGAAAUGAAUGUAAUUUUGAAUACCCUAUUAACAGUGUCGGACUAGUCGGAUAUAGUUGACAUGUCAUAGGAAUUGGAAGUAUUGGGAUAUUCCGACAUUGAGUCGAUGAGACACUAUGUGUCGACUACUAUUAAAGUUCUGGAUUUGUUCCGAUGAAGUACUUUGGGUACUAUAAUGUUAAAGUUCUGGAUUUAUUCCGAUGAAGCACUAUGUGCUUAUCCCGGAGUGUGGGUUGGAUCCGUGUAUCCGUCAGUGUCCAAGUUAUGUUAAUAAGGGUAAAUAAAGUAAAGAUUAUUAAAGUACUGAUUGAUAUUGAAUAAUAGCAAUAAUGUGUUUGAAUUACCAUGUUUUAAAGUUGAUUAAGCUAUUGUUUAUAGAAAUACCACUGAGAGUAUUCUCAGCGUACGGUUUGUUUCCGUGGGCAGGCUAGGUACGAAAGUAUAAGGACUCAGCAUACAAGCCGAUCCCCGAACUCAAAUUGGUGAAGUUUCUAUCUUUUUGGAAAAUGGCAUUGUACCUAGGAUGUCUUUUGGUCAUUUUGAAAGUAUCUAAGUUGUUAAGUGAUAUUUUGGUAUGUUUUGUAAAUGUUACCAAAACCUUAAGUAUGGUAUGUUUUGAUAUGUUAGUGAAGAGUAAUAAGAGGAAUUGUUGGUAAAUGUUGUAGAGAGAAGAAAUGAAGAUGUUAUAAACUUAGUUAUCAACAUUUUUUACUAAAACAGAUUUGGACAGUAGCGGUAGUCCAACUUUGAAAAUAUACCAAAAAUAGUAUAAAGUGAAUUAGAUAAUGAAUAAAAUUUUUAAUUGAAUCUUAAUGAAUCUAUUUUUAUAUGGAGUAAACAAAAUAGGUAAAAGAGUUGUAUUUUAUGAGAUAUUUACGUUUUGGUGAAACAGGGUUAGAACAAUUUCUGGAUUCUCUGUUCUAACUUUAGAAAUUCACCAUAAAUUGUGUAUUAAGAAUUAGGACUCAAAAUUUAUUUGUAUGGAUUUCUUAUUGAGUCUAUUUUUAAUUGAAGUAAAUGACAUAGUCAUUGGAUUUCUGUACAGGAAUAAAUUUGAUUCGUAGUGCACAAGGGUCAGAGUAGCCGAACCCUGAAAUAGGGGAGACUUCUUCUAAUAAACUGUACUAAUUGGCCUGACCAAAAAUUCUAGAAAAAAAUUAGUAAGUAUAUAUAUGAGUCUAGUUUCAGGUAAAAUUUACGGAAUUGGAUUUUGAGUUUCGUAACUCGAGAUAUAAUUUUUUUAGCGACCGUGAUGCAGAUGGAUAGUUUAUUACGAAAACUGUUUAAGUGCUAAGAUAAGUUUUGUAAUGUCUCCUGCUUGACUCCGGCAACGGUCUCGGGUAGGGGGACGUUACAAUAUUGAUUGGUAUCAGAGCUAAUUAGGUUUAGUCAGUUCUAGGACUAAAUCAAAUGUCAAUGUGAAUCUAGAGGUACAUGCCAUUACUGAGUCAAAUUUGAGUUGGGAUUGGAUGCUGAUAUGUUUAUUGAAUAUUUCCGUUUUAUAGCAUUAAGAAUGUCUGAUAAAAGCAUUGAGGAUACUGAUCAAGAGAUGUAUAGUGAAGAUCAUGAACCGUAUAAUGUGAAUGAAUUGGAGUCUGAAUUGUCUAAAGUUAUGAUAGAAGUGUCUAGUCCACUGGGACAAACUACUUUAGUGAACCAUAUAUGUCGAAGAUGUUCGUUAAUGAUUCAAGAUAGAAUAUUCCCUGUUGAUCUGUUGAUUAUGCCAUUUGGCGACUUUGAUGUUAUUUUGGGAAUGGACUGGUUAUCAGAACAUGGAGUGAUUUUAGACUGUUAUAAGAAGAAGUUUAUUGUUCAGAAUGAAAGUGAAGAUACGAUUGAAGUAAAUGGUAUUCGGACUAGUGGAUCAAUUUGUAUUGUUUCGGCCAUUAAAGCUAGCAAGCUUCUUCAUCGAGGUUAUAAUGCUUUCUUACCAUAUGUGAUUAAUUCGGAUUCAGUUGAAAGUCAGUGUAGUAAAAUUCGGACUGUAUGUGAAUUUUCUGAUGUAUUCCCUAAGGAAUUACCUAGAUUACCCCCUGAUUAAGAGGUAGAAUUUGUGAUUGAAGUCUACCCAGGUACAGAUCCGGUAUCGAUACCUCCGUACCGUAUGGCACUUACUGAGCUAAAGGAAUUAAAAGUACAGUUGCAAGACUUAUUGGACAGAGGUUUUAUACGACCUAGUACAUCACCAUGGGGAGCUCCAAUGUUAUUUGUUAAGAAGAAAGAUGGGUCGAUGCGGUUGUGCAUUGAUUAUCGACAACUCAAUAAAGUGACUGUCAAGAACAAGUAUCCACUUCCCCGAAUAGAUGAUUUGUUUGAUCAACUGAAAGGAGCUUCCGUAUUUUCAAAGAUUGACCUGAGGUCGGGAUACUAUCAGUUGAAAGUAAAAGAGUGCAACAUAUUGAAGACGACAUUCCGUACGAGGUAUGGACAUUAUGAAUUCUUAGUAAUGCCAUUUGGACUGACAAAUGCCCCUGCUGCUUUUAUGAAUCUUAUGAAUCAGAUUUUUCAGCCAUACUUGGAUCAGUUCGUAGUAGUUUUUAUUGAUGAUAUUUUGGUGUUUUCCAAGUCAGAAAAAGAUCAUGAGCAACAUCUCCAGAUUGUUUUGCAAAUACUACGAGAAAAGCAAUUAUACGGAAAAUUGAGCAAGUGUGAAUUCUAGUUAUCAGAAGUUGUGUUUCUUGGUCAUGUCGUAUCAACAGAUGGAAUUAGAGUAGAUCCAAAGAAGAUUGAAGCAGUUAUUCAGUGGAAAGUUCCUAAGAAUGUAUCAGAGGUACGAAGUUUUCUUGGAUUGGCUGGUUACUAUUGAAGAUUCGUCAACGGAUUUUCAAAGAUAGCCUUACCGAUGACCAAGCUACUACAGAAGAAUAUUCCAUUUGUUUGGAAUGAGCAAUGUCAGAAAAGUUUUGAAGCAUUGAAACGAAUGUUAACAGAGGCACCGGUAUUGACUUUACCAGAAUCAGAAAGAGAUUUUGUAGUGUACAGUGAUGCUUCAUUGAGUGGACUGGGAUGUGUACUGAUGUAGAACGGGAAAGUCAUUGCUUAUGCUUCACAGCAACUGAAACCACAUGAACGCAACUAUCCAACUCAUGAUUUAGAAUUAGCAGCUGUAAUUUUUGCCUUAAAGAUUUGGAGGCACUAUCUUUAUGGUGAAAAGUGUUAUGUUUAUACGGAUCAUAAAAGUUUGAAGUAUCUGCUUUCGCAAAAAAAAUUGAAUCUGAGAAAAAGGCGUUGGAUAGAGCUUCUAAAAGACUAUGAUUGUGUCAUAGACUAUCAUCCAGGGAAGGCUAAUGUAGUAGCCGAUGCACUGAGUAGAAAAGCUGCGAUUGAAUUACGAGCAAUGUUUGCACAACUUAGUAUCACUGAAGAUGGAAGCCUUUUGACUGAAUUAAGAAUAAAGCCAGUAAUGUUUGAUCGAAUCAGAUCAGCACAGUUAGAAGAUGAUAAGUUGUUAAAGAAAAGAGAGAUGAUUCGGAAUGGUACAACAGAAAAUUUUAGCAUUGAUGGAAAUGGCUGUCUAAGAUUUCAGAAUCGACUUUGCAUUCCGAAUAAUUCUGAGUUGAAAGAGUUAAUUCUUCGAGAAGCUCAUAAUAGUCCAUUUGCAUUUCAUCCUGGAGGUAUGAAAAUGUAUCGUGAUUUGCGUGAAUUGUAUUAGUGGUCGGGAAUGAAAAAGGAUAUAACUGAAUAUGUGGCAAAGUGUUUGACUUGUCAACGAGUGAAGGCAGAACAUCAAGUUCCAUCGAGAUUACUUCAACCCAUCAAUAUUCCUGAAUGGAAAUGGGACCGAAUAACGAUGGACUUUGUGACGGGAUUACCGAUGUCUACAAGUAAAAAGAAUGCUAUUUGGGUAAUAGUUGAUCGACUUACGAAGUCAGCUCAUUUCUUAGCUGUGAAAACCGAUUGGUCGUUAAAGAAACUUGCUGAGGUUUAUGUUCGGGAAAUCAUUAGAUUAUAUGGUAUUCCAAAAUAAAUAAUUUCUGACAGAGAUCCAAGGUUUACGUCAAGGUUUUGGAAGCAAUUACAUGAAUCUUUUGGUACUCGACUUCACUUUAGUACAGCUUUUCAUCCACAGACUGAUGGUCAAUCUGAACGGGUAAUACAAAUUUUAGAAGAUAUGCUUCGAGCCUGUAUGAUUGAUUUUGAGUCUAACUGGGAAUAUUAUUUGUCAUUAGCCGAAUUUGUAUAUAAUAAUAGUUUCCAGUCAAGUAUACAGAUGGCACCGUAUGAGGCUUUGUAUGGACGAAGAUGCCGAUCAUCCGUAUGUUGGACAGAACUGAAUGAGAAGAAGAUGAUUGGACCUGAAUUGGUUCAAGAAACGGAAAGUACAGUUAAGAAAAUUCAGGAAAGAUUGAAAACAGCUUUUGAUAGACAGAAAUCGUAUGCAGAUUUGAAACGACGGGAUAUUGAAUACUUAGUUGGGGAUAAAGUAUUUUUAAAGGUUUCACCUUGGAAGAAAAUUCUAAGAUUUGGUCAAAAAGGAAAAUUAAGUCCUCGUUUUAUUGGGCCUUACGAAGUUAUUGAGAGAAUUGGACCAGUAGCGUAUCGAUUGGCCUUACCUCUUGAACUACAGAAAAUGCACGAUGUCUUCUAUGUUUCUAUGCUAAGAAGAUACCGAUCAGAUCCUUCACAUGUUAUUACUACCGAGAAUGUAGAGAUUCGACCUGACUUAUCGUAUGAAGAAGAACCAGUUGAGAUUCUAGCACGAGAGGUAAAAGAAUUACGUAAUAAACGUAUUCCUUUAGUAAAAGUGCUAUGGUGAAGUCACAGUGUUGAAGAAGCUACAUGGGAACCAGAAGAAACGAUGAGAUCUCAAUACCCCCAUCUCUUUUCAGGUAAAUUUCGAGAACGAAAUUUAUUAAGGGGGAGAGAAUUGUAAUGAACCGAAAGUUACGGUAUCGGAAAUUGAGUCUUGAGUACUGUUUCUUUGAAAUUUAUUCAUGAAUAUUUAUUAGAAAUAUUUAUGAAUUAUAGUUGAAUGGUUAUUUAGUGUUUAAUUAAGUGAAGUAGCUUGAAUUUAGUUUAAAGGAUUAAAUUGCAUAAGGAAUAAAAGUUUAAUUAUAGAUUAAAGAAGUAAAAGGGACUAAUCUAACAAUUAGACCCUAAGUGCCAUGUGUGUGAAUGUAUGAUAUAACAUGUGUAAUAGUUGGUAUAUAUGUGUAAUAGCUAUAAGAUAUUUUAUGUUAUAGCUAUUACACAUGUUAAUUUUAUAUUUAUUAUAGGUUAAUAAUAUUAUAAUAUAGUAUAAAGAAUAAAGAAUAAUGAGUAAAGAAACAUAGAAAGAGUUACAGAGAGCAAACGUGAGAAAGAAAGAAAGAAAUAAAUAAAAAAGGGAAAUUUGAGGAUUAAGGCCCUAAAGCUUGAUUGGUAAGUUGUUUUAGCUCAUUUUCUUAUGAUUUUUAUGUUUAUGGAUGCCUAAUUCAAAGUUCUACAUGUAUGAGGUUAAAAUGAAGAAAAAUAGAAAAUUUUUAGAUAUUGAUUUAGUUGAAUAAAUUGAGGUUUUAUGGGUUAAAUUGAUAGGAAUUGAAGUUAGAAGUGAAAAUUGAGUGAUUUAUUAAAAGAAUUCUAAGUUAGGUUUAAAUAGGGAUUAAGUUGAAUAGAGCUCAAAAUUUAUGUUUUAUAAUGAAUUUUAUGAGUUAGAAAUUGUUAAUGAGUUGAUUAAAAGAGAAUAUGAAGCUUAAGUUAAAGAAAAAAAGAUUAGUAAUGGAAAAAUGACGAAAUUGG